This 93-nucleotide transfer RNA is filed under the name Buchnera aphidicola (Cinara pseudotsugae). RNAcentral's name for it is "transfer RNA Leucine". It matches the Rfam family "tRNA". Rfam says of the family: Transfer RNA (tRNA) molecules are approximately 80 nucleotides in length. The record is from RNAcentral. Lineage: Bacteria; Pseudomonadati; Pseudomonadota; Gammaproteobacteria; Enterobacterales; Erwiniaceae.
ACCGAAGUGGUGAAACUGGUAGACACGCUAUCUUGAGGGGAUAGUACUUAAUUUUAAAUAGGUGUGUGGGUUCAAUUCCCACCUUCGGUACUA